This 377-nucleotide ribosomal RNA is filed under the name uncultured eukaryote. RNAcentral's name for it is "SSU rRNA". It matches the Rfam family "Eukaryotic small subunit ribosomal RNA", at positions 587 to 969 of the family's 1831-position model. The record is from RNAcentral.
AGCUCCAAUAGCGUAUAUUAAAGUUGUUGCGGUUAAAAAGCUCGUAGUUGGAUUUCUGCUUAGGACGACCGGUCCGCCCACUGGGUGAGUAUCUGGCUCGGCCUGGGCAUCCUCUUGGAGAACGUUACUGCACUUGACUGUGUGGUGCGGUAUCCAGGACUUUUACUUUGAGGAAAUUAGAGUGUUUCAAGCAGGCACACGCCUUGAAUACAUUAGCAUGGAAUAAUAAGUAGGACCUCGGUUCUAUUUUGUUGGUUUCUAGAGCUGAGGUAAUGAUUAAUAGGGAUAGUUGGGGGCAUUCGUAUUUAACUGUCAGAGGUGAAAUUCUUGGAUUUGUUAAAGACGGACAACUGCGAAAGCAUUUGCCAAGGAUGUUU